RNAcentral lists this ribosomal RNA (508 nucleotides) under uncultured bacterium. RNAcentral describes it as "bacterial SSU rRNA". It matches the Rfam family "Bacterial small subunit ribosomal RNA", at positions 36 to 518 of the family's 1533-position model. The record is from RNAcentral.
CUGGCGGCGUGCCUAAUACAUGCAAGUCGAACGGUCUUUCUAUGGAAGCUUGCUUCACUGAGAAGAUAGUGGCGAACGGGUGAGUAACACGUGGGUAACCUGCCCAUAAGAGGGGGAUAACAUCCGGAAACGGGUGCUAAUACCGCAUAGUUUUCUUGAUCGCAUGAUCGGGAAAGGAAAGACGGCCUUUGUGCUGUCGCUUAUGGAUGGACCCGCGGCGUAUUAGUUAGUUGGUGAGGUAAUGGCUCACCAAGACGAUGAUACGUAGCCGACCUGAGAGGGUGAUCGGCCACAUUGGGACUGAGACACGGCCCAAACUCCUACGGGAGGCAGCAGUAGGGAAUCUUCCGCAAUGGACGAAAGUCUGACGGAGCAACGCCGCGUGAGUGAAGAAAGGUUUUCGGAUCGUAAAACUCUGUUGUCAGAGAAGAACAAGUUGGAGAGUAACUGCUCCAGCCUUGACGGUAUCUGACCAGAAAGCCACGGCUAACUACGUGCCAGCAGCCGC